AUUUCUCCUCUCUACGACUUUUUCAUCUUCUUCGUUUCUCUCUGUCUCGAGUCAACAAUCCGACAAACACAAAGCUUUCAAUCUCUUUUCUUCUUUUUUUUUCUCUCUUUUCUCGAUUCCAUCGAUACUCAUUCAUCUUUUUCAUCUUCCCUCUUCACUCGUUUCUAUCGAUCCAAAGAUCCGUCCUCUCCCUUCUUCUUCGUGAGAAAUUCGCAGUGAAAUCGAGAAAUCCGCCGUGAGAAAUCCGCCGUGAGAACUCCGCCGUGUCUUCUCUUUGUAAGAUUUCAUUUGUUUGAUCCCUAAUUUUGUUUUAUUGUGUUGGGUUUAAUUAGGAUUUGAUUUCUUCCAAUUUAUUCUUCUAUGUGAGGGUUUGAUAUGUAAUUCUCUUUGAUUUUGUUUGAAACAAAUGCAUUUUGAAUGGAAUUUCGAUUACAAUUAGGAUUUUUUAUGAUUACAGUUCGGAUUUUAAGAUUACUAAUAGGAUUUGAAUUACAAUUCGGGUUUGAAAUUCGGACGACAUGUAGCUACUUUUUCUUGUUUUUAUUUGGAGAUAUUGAGUGAAAGUUGUAACUUUGUUUGUAAACUCUUCUUAAAAUGAUUGAUUUCUCUUGGUCAAUUUUGGAAGAAAUCUGGUUUCAAGUAAGUUAAUAAGGAGUGGAUUGCAGACAUAGAUGAAAUUUUUUGUACGUAUAUAUUAGCCUAUAACAUUUGUUUCUCUAUUACGAGAGGAGGAAAAGGAAAAGGAGACUGAGACUGAGACUGAGAAGGAGAAGGAGAAAGAGAAGGAUAAGGAGAAGAAGAAGCAGAAGAAGACUUGGUGUGUUCAGAUGUGUUUUGGUUUCUAAUGUUAUGUAUGAAUCUAAGUGUUUAGGUACAACUGGUACACUUAUGUACAACUAUGUAUCUGGGUUUGUAUGAAUCUAAGUUUUUUUGACAGAAAAAUCACCAAAAAACUAUGAGUCAAAGUGUUUUGAUCAAAAAAUUCACAACAACACUAUGAAUCUACUAAGUAU
RNAcentral lists this long non-coding RNA (1013 nucleotides) under Arabidopsis lyrata. RNAcentral's name for it is "long non-coding RNA (ALYR_LNC001550)". The record is from RNAcentral. Lineage: Eukaryota; Viridiplantae; Streptophyta; Magnoliopsida; Brassicales; Brassicaceae.